CAGCCGCCACGGGAAUACGUAGGGUGCGAGCGUCAAUCGGAAUUACUGGGCGUAAAGCGUGCGCAGGCGGUUGUGUAAGACAGGUGUGAAAUCCCCGGGCUUAACCUGGGAACUGCGCUUGUGACUGCACAGCUAGAGUAUGGCAGAGGGGGGUGGAAUUCCACGUGUAGCAGUGAAAUGCGUAGAGAUGUGGAGGAACACCGAUGGCGAAGGCAGCCCCCUGGGCCAAUACUGACGCUCAUGCACGAAAGCGUGGGGAGCAAACAGGAUUAGAUACCCGUGUAGUCCCUGUCUCUUAUAC
This 301-nucleotide ribosomal RNA is filed under the name uncultured bacterium. RNAcentral's name for it is "partial 16S ribosomal RNA". It matches the Rfam family "Bacterial small subunit ribosomal RNA", at positions 509 to 807 of the family's 1533-position model. The record is from RNAcentral.